RNAcentral lists this transfer RNA (81 nucleotides) under Bos taurus (domestic cattle). It matches the Rfam family "tRNA". Rfam says of the family: Transfer RNA (tRNA) molecules are approximately 80 nucleotides in length. Their secondary structure includes four short double-helical elements and three loops (D, anti-codon, and T loops). Further hydrogen bonds mediate the characteristic L-shaped molecular structure. tRNAs have two regions of fundamental functional importance: the anti-codon, which is responsible for specific mRNA codon recognition, and the 3' end, to which the tRNAs corresponding amino acid is attached (by aminoacyl-tRNA synthetases). tRNAs cope with the degeneracy of the genetic code in two manners: having more than one tRNA (with a specific anti-codon) for a particular amino acid; and 'wobble' base-pairing, i.e. permitting non-standard base-pairing at the 3rd anti-codon position. RNAcentral also lists the same sequence under 2 other names. The record is from Rfam by way of RNAcentral. Lineage: Eukaryota; Metazoa; Chordata; Mammalia; Artiodactyla; Bovidae.
UUCCCAAUGACUCAGUGGUUAAAGAACCUGCUUGCAAUGCAGGAGAUUCAGGAGACCUGGGUUCGAUCCCUGGGUGGGAAG